This 253-nucleotide ribosomal RNA is filed under the name uncultured bacterium. RNAcentral describes it as "partial 16S ribosomal RNA". It matches the Rfam family "Bacterial small subunit ribosomal RNA", at positions 524 to 776 of the family's 1533-position model. The record is from RNAcentral.
UACAGAGGAUGCAAGCGUUAUCCGGAAUGAUUGGGCGUAAAGCGUCUGUAGGUGGCUUUUUAAGUCCGCCGUCAAAUCCCAGGGCUCAACUCUGGACAGGCGGUGGAAACUACCAAGCUGGAGUACGGUAGGGGCAGAGGGAAUUUCCGGUGGAGCGGUGAAAUGCGUAGAUAUCAAGUGGAACACCAGUGGCGAAGGCGAGUCUCUGGACAUUUCCUGACGCUGAGGCACGAAAGCCAGGGGAGCAAACGGG